This 253-nucleotide ribosomal RNA is filed under the name uncultured bacterium. RNAcentral's name for it is "partial 16S ribosomal RNA". It matches the Rfam family "Bacterial small subunit ribosomal RNA", at positions 524 to 776 of the family's 1533-position model. The record is from RNAcentral.
UACAGAGGGGGCAAGCGUUGUUCGGAAUUACUGGGCGUAAAGGGUGUGUAGGCGGUUCUUUAAGUUUGGUGUGAAAUCUCCCGGCUCAACCGGGAGGGUGCGCCGAAUACUGAGGGACUAGAGUAUGGGAUGGGAAAGUGGAAUUCCUGGUGUAGCGGUGAAAUGCGUAGAUAUCAGGAGGAACACCUGUGGUGUAGACGGCUUUCUGGACCAUAACUGACGCUGAGACACGAAAGCGUGGGUAGCAAACAGG